UGGGCAACCUGCCCCAGACACAGGGACAACCCCGGGAAACCGGGGCUAAUACCGGAUACUCCGGUCGAACCGCAUGGCUCGAUCGGGAAAGCUCCGACGGUCUGGGAUGGGCCCGCGGCCUAUCAGCUUGUUGGUGGGGUAACGGCUCACCAAGGCAACGAUGCGUAGCCGACCUGAGAGGGUGAUCGGCCACAUUGGAACUGAGACACGGUCCAGACUCCUACGGGAGGCAG
This 233-nucleotide ribosomal RNA is filed under the name uncultured bacterium. RNAcentral's name for it is "partial 16S ribosomal RNA". It matches the Rfam family "Bacterial small subunit ribosomal RNA", at positions 118 to 351 of the family's 1533-position model. The record is from RNAcentral.